GCAGUCGACGAACCCUUCGGGGUUAGUGGCGCACGGGUGCGUAACGCGUGGGAACCUGCCCUUAGGUUCGGAAUAACUCAGAGAAAUUUGAGCUAAUACCGGAUAAUGUCUUCGGACCAAAGAUUUAUCGCCUUUGGAUGGGCCCGCGUUGGAUUAGCUAGUUGGUGGGGUAAAGGCCUACCAAGGCGACGAUCCAUAGCUGGUCUGAGAGGAUGAUCAGCCACACUGGGACUGAGACACGGCCCAGACUCCUACGGGAGGCAGCAGUGGGGAAUAUUGGACAAUGGGCGAAAGCCUGAUCCAGCAAUGCCGCGUGAGUGAUGAAGGCCUUAGGGUUGUAAAGCUCUUUUACCAGGGAUGAUAAUGACAGUACCUGGAGAAUAAGCUCCGGCUAACUCCGUGCCAGCAGCCGCGGUAAUACGGAGGGAGCUAGCGUUGUUCGGAAUUACUGGGCGUAAAGCGCGCGUAGGCGGCAUGGCAAGUCAGGGGUGAAAUCCCGGGGCUCAACCCCGGAACUGCCCUUGAAACUGCCAAGCUAGAAUCCUGGAGAGGCGAGUGGAAUUCCGAGUGUAGAGGUGAAAUUCGUAGAUAUUCGGAAGAACACCAGUGGCGAAGGCGACUCGCUGGACAGGUAUUGACGCUGAGGUGC
RNAcentral lists this ribosomal RNA (649 nucleotides) under Qipengyuania gaetbuli. Its description in RNAcentral is "bacterial SSU rRNA". It matches the Rfam family "Bacterial small subunit ribosomal RNA", at positions 57 to 754 of the family's 1533-position model. Lineage: Bacteria; Pseudomonadati; Pseudomonadota; Alphaproteobacteria; Sphingomonadales; Erythrobacteraceae. The record is from RNAcentral.